RNAcentral lists this ribosomal RNA (902 nucleotides) under Bacillus glycinifermentans. RNAcentral's name for it is "bacterial SSU rRNA". It matches the Rfam family "Bacterial small subunit ribosomal RNA", at positions 81 to 967 of the family's 1533-position model. The record is from RNAcentral. Lineage: Bacteria; Bacillati; Bacillota; Bacilli; Caryophanales; Bacillaceae.
GCUCCCUGAUGUCAGCGGCGGACGGGUGAGUAACACGUGGGUAACCUGCCUGUAAGACUGGGAUAACUCCGGGAAACCGGGGCUAAUACCGGAUGCUUGAUUGAACCGCAUGGUUCAAUUAUAAAAGGUGGCUUUUAGCUACCACUUACAGAUGGACCCGCGGCGCAUUAGCUAGUUGGUGAGGUAACGGCUCACCAAGGCAACGAUGCGUAGCCGACCUGAGAGGGUGAUCGGCCACACUGGGACUGAGACACGGCCCAGACUCCUACGGGAGGCAGCAGUAGGGAAUCUUCCGCAAUGGACGAAAGUCUGACGGAGCAACGCCGCGUGAGUGAUGAAGGUUUUCGGAUCGUAAAACUCUGUUGUUAGGGAAGAACAAGUACCGUUCGAAUAGGGCGGUACCUUGACGGUACCUAACCAGAAAGCCACGGCUAACUACGUGCCAGCAGCCGCGGUAAUACGUAGGUGGCAAGCGUUGUCCGGAAUUAUUGGGCGUAAAGCGCGCGCAGGCGGUUUCUUAAGUCUGAUGUGAAAGCCCCCGGCUCAACCGGGGAGGGUCAUUGGAAACUGGGGAACUUGAGUGCAGAAGAGGAGAGUGGAAUUCCACGUGUAGCGGUGAAAUGCGUAGAGAUGUGGAGGAACACCAGUGGCGAAGNCGACUCUCUGGUCUGUAACUGACGCUGAGGCGCGAAAGCGUGGGGAGCGAACAGGAUUAGAUACCCUGGUAGUCCACGCCGUAAACGAUGAGUGCUAAGUGUUAGAGGGUUNCGCCCUUUAGUGCUGCAGCAAACGCAUUAAGCACUCCGCCUGGGGAGUACNGUCGCAAGACUGAAACUCAAGGNAUUGACGGGGGCCCGCACAAGCGGNGGAGCAUGNUGGUUUAAUUCGAAGCAACNCGAAGA